RNAcentral lists this transfer RNA (76 nucleotides) under Pseudomonas putida. Its description in RNAcentral is "tRNA-Lys". It matches the Rfam family "tRNA". From Rfam's summary of the family: Transfer RNA (tRNA) molecules are approximately 80 nucleotides in length. Their secondary structure includes four short double-helical elements and three loops (D, anti-codon, and T loops). RNAcentral also lists the same sequence under 1 other name. Lineage: Bacteria; Pseudomonadati; Pseudomonadota; Gammaproteobacteria; Pseudomonadales; Pseudomonadaceae. The record is from RNAcentral.
GGGGUAUUAGCUCAGCGGUAGAGCAACCGGCUUUUAACCGGCUGGCCGAUUGGUUCGAAUCCAUCAUGCCCCACCA